GCGGGGACGGGGACGGGGUGAGGAGCAGCGCGCGCGCGAGGUGUAAGGGGGGGGGCGGGGAUUGGUUGCCAUGGCAGUGACGUCAAAGAGUGCCGGGGACAGGGAGCGGAGACACGGAAAAGUGCUGGAGUGGGGUUCUGUGCUUUACGUGCCCCAGGGCAUGGCUCAAUCUAGCAAACCCUGGAGUGAAGCUGCUAUCAGCGUGUGGAGACUGAGUGCCACCGACAGCCUGUUGUCUGUUCGUGCUCAGAGAGUUAUGUGGAAGGACAGGAGUGACUCAGUAAUAGGAAGUAUUAGUUGCACUGAGGCAAAACCAGGUGAAGUUAUUACUUGGUUACUCUGUUACCUUGGGUCAUUGUUUUGCAUCAGUCCACUGUUUGCUUAUGAAUCAGAAAUAGUAGUGCUUUCCAAAAACAUACUGUGAAUAAACACUAAUGAGCUCAAAAUGCUUAUCAGCUGUAGUAAUAACAGGUAGAUGUGUUGUUUCUCUAUAGUGGCAUAGACAGUGCAGCCAGGAUUGUUUUGCUUGCAAGCUCUUCCUGUGGCAGUAACUUUGCACAGAAGUAGACUUUUGCUUCAAAAGACAUUUUAUAACUCAUGAUACUGUGUGAUAUGCAAUGUUAGAAACAUAGAAUCAUGGAAUGACUUAGGUUGGAAGGGACUUUAAGGGUUAUUGAAUUCCAACCCCCUCCUGCGGGCUGUGUUAAGUCAUAUUUCGUAUUUUUAUGCAGAAAGUUCUCUAAUACGCUUUUAAAUAACCGCCAUUCCACAGUGCAAAUAGUUUGGGGUUUUUUCUCCUGUGUUCUUAAAACAGCACCAGUACUGCUAAGGAAGCAGUGUCUGGUUGUCUCUGGGUGAGGUGAUAGACUGAGGCUUUUGAUAUGGAGUUGGAAGAGAGAAGUUCCAGUAUAUCUGCUCACAUCUUGGCGUGAUCAAGAAAUUACUUGGAACUGGUUUGUAACUCACUGUGCCACCACACAGCUAUACUUGCCAGGGUUGAGUAGUAUUGUUUACGAGGUGCUGUCUGGAGAUGCCUCUGUAUUUGCAAGAAAAUACUGAAGCAGGUGACAGUAAGUUCAUUACAACGAGCUGAGCAGUUUAGGAAACAGCAUUUUUAUUCUCACAUUAUAAGGUGAUCUACAUAGAAAAUCAAAUGCCUUAAGUAUGCCACUGGCAAGCACUUCAAUAGAGGAAUCUGAAAACUCCAUAGGAGUUGCCCGGAGUGGUUUGUGCCGCUCUCAAGAGCAGUGCUGCCACCACCAUAGCAGGUGAGCUGGAGCUGCUGCUCUCAGGAGUACUGAGCAGAGUUGGCUGAGUUUUCCUCUGCACUUUUGCUUUAUGCAAAUCAGAGCAGGUAGCUCGCUUGUCUGGUGUUCUUUGAGUUUGUUUUUGUUUAUUUUUUUGUUUUUCUGAUCUAUUCUAGAAAGAUACACCACAAAGAAGCACCAACUGCCUGGUAUCUUUAAGCUUUGCUUCUGAGAGUAUUUUGUUCUGUAGUUUAUCACUUGCCUGCUCAAGUUUGUUUGGAACUUCCAUACUGCUAAAUAGGACAACUGUUCUGUGUGAGGAGGAGGUGAGCACAACAGAAGACUUUUGUCUUCGGUUUUAACAACAAAACUGAAAGUUGCUCUGGCAAAAUGGCAAUUCAUUGUUAAUUCAUGAGAUGUAGGUGCUCUGGAAAAAUCAAAUACCAGUUUCAUAGCUACCCUUAGGCAUCUCUAAUUUAUGCAAGCAGGGCUUGCCAAGUAACUACUGAGUCUCACUGACCUUAGUAGGUUUGCAGAGGUCAUAUUUUAACACAGAUAAGUUAUGCUUGAACUAUUUUCUCAGUAGGUAUUAGGAGCAAGUGUUUGUGUACACAAUUACAUGCUUUUUGCCAAUCCUCCAUUACAUUUUCUGUUUUUCUUUAGAUUCUUGCUUGUAAGUUCUACAGUAAAUCCUAGAGUUUUUUUUUGUGUUUUUUCUUAAUCUGUUAUCUUAAGUAAGAAACGUGAGUUUUUGAGGACAGCUUCUUUUUUGGGGUCUCAGUAAAACAGAACAAACAAAGGUUUCAUAGACCGCCAGAAAGGCAGUUGUAGGAUCAGGGAAAGUCGGGGUAUGGGAAGCCAGAACAGCCCAAACGUGUGAGUGACAUCAGCAUUUUUCUGAGCCGUUUAUGCUGCUCACUUCUGUCGGUUCCCAGCAGUGCCUGUGUCUUAUGUAAGCUCGCACUGUACAUCCUGUCCUGCUGUUCUCAUGCAUGAAAAUCAUUGGUGUUAUCUUACUGUACGUUUUGAGAGCUGAGCAGUUACUGGCUACUUGUUGUCUCAAAUGUCUGCAUGCAAAUCUCUCACAAGCAUGCUGGAGAGAGCUAUGCCAAGAGCAUGGUGCUGUCCUCCUAGGAGACAUCAGAGGGGUAAGUUGUAGUAAACGCCGCUCGCUCGUCCUUUGCUCUUUCUGGUAAUAGGCACUAUGAAGUAAUGCAGCUACAGAGGUAAUUGUGCUGCUACAGUCUGAAGUGCUGAUCUGUGUCACGUGCAGAUGGACCACUAAUGCAGUUUCAAUGGCUGGUGAUAAAACAGACAUGGAAAACAAAGGACAGUGGUUUCAACAGAAGCUUUAAUGAUGUUAGGACUGGAAAAGAGAGGCUUUUAUAUACUCUUACUGUGCACUGCUUGUUACGGGUCUUGGAAAGAAACUGUGCCUUCAGAUGGACUGAUGCUUUACCCUUGUUCCUGUAGUUAGCAUUUAGUGAUGCAUAAUGAAGGUACUGUCACUCAAUGGGUGAAAUUGGAGCAAACCUUCCAUUACAAGGCUUCAGAAACAAACAUUCCCUCUAUUUUUUUUCUUGCUAAAUCUAUCUGAAAUCGUCAGGCGUAAAAUCCUGCAGUAAUGUGAUCUGUUAAUGCAAAGUAAGUAACUUGGCCACCUUGUUUAAACGCUACCCAGUGCUUCAGUUACGAAGCAAAACUACCUCUGCUUCUUAAAUACUCUUGUCUCUUCUGUUUGUGCUCCUGCAGUAUGAAGGAGACAAGUUUCUGCUCCUCUGCUCUGGUGAAUGCGAUUGUGUGGCACUGUGGCUUGUUUUGGGGGAGCUGUGUUUGAAGGGCUGUAGAGUUUGUUACAAGCUCUGAUAGGAAAGGCUGACUGGCAGGAGAAGUGCACCUGGGUAGGAGUGCGUUUGUGGAAAGGCCUUGGAAGGAAUGAAAGAAUCUUUCUUGUGGCUUCCCAGUGUGAUCCGUUCCAUGCCGCACGAAACAAUUCCUCAUUGUGCUGGAGUGUAAGACUUAACAAGGAAACUGGCCAUCUGAAGAGGAACAGGUGCAAUGCCCUGACGCUUAGAAGCUAACCAGAUUCCUGAGUGAGCAGAUCUUGCAGAAUUUAAGGAAACUUAUUGGCAGAACAUCUAAGAAGGACUUGAAUUUUUGUUUUGAGUAGGGAAUUGAAUGAUCUCUGCUGCCUUUCACACAAAUCUAGGAAUGCAGUGGCUCUAUUUAGUGCUUUUGUUAUUUUCUUGAAGAUAUAGAAAUAUGUUUCAAAAGCAUAUGCAGGAAGAUGGAGUUGCAGCAGCCAUAAGAACUUGUAAGAAAGCACCUGCACGUUGUGCAUUUGGGAUUCCGUGGCAUUAUAUUUUAUUGCUUUACAGAUGCUUACGUGACUAUCAGAAUCCACAUCUAUGUUGUCCAUAUUCAAUAGCCUUUUCAUUUUGUUGAUGUGGACAGAAUCUAUUCAGGAUGCUUAAAUCUGCUAAAAUAUUUAUAAGAAAGUUGGCCCUUGGAGCAUGUUUCCCACAGGAUGCAGUGGGUGUCGGGGCUAAAGGUCAGUGCAGACGAAGUAAAGUGAAAGCUCUUUUGCAUUUAUUUUCCUACUUUUUUUUCUUAAUUUUCUUUUGAAAGAGAAUUCUCUGUGUUAAGAAGCACAGAACUUUCCUUUGCUACUUCCUACGUUUCCAUACACUAAGAAGCAGGAAUGGACCUGUAAAUACUUAAGCCUUUUAUUGAAACUUUGCUCCCUUUCUUUAGGAGAGCGGGGAAAAAAAAUGAAACCAACAACCCCAAAUCAGUGCAGUUAAUGUAGUCAUGGGCUCUGAGCAUGGAAGUUCCCGGUGUAAAGGAAAAAAGCCAGAUGGAGUUUUAAGUGACUGUCAUGUACCACUUAAGAAACGCACAUUCCUGAUACUAAUAAAAGGGCCAGAUUGGAGCUACAUAAUUAAUCCCAGUGUCCUUUUCAGCACAUGAUAAGAUUUGGCUACAGCAGUCAUAGAGCUAAUGGAGACAACUGUCAGGUUCUACAAAGCAGUGGAUUGUUUGCCUAAAAUAAAAAUACCUAUGUGAUUAUUCUUGUACAUAUAUUUGUAUCUGCUGGUGAUUAGUACUUAUGUCCCAGUUCAAAUGGAAGAUAAAUGGAGCUGAUUUGCUUUUGAAUCCCCUUACUGCCUUAAGUAUCUGUAUAAAUAUAUACACCAGAUAUGUCUGUAAAUAAAUUAUUCCUAUUCAAUAUAUAUUUAAGAUGGGAAGUAAAUGUUUUUUAUUAUUUUCUUUAGGAGUUAGGUGGCAAAACUUGCUCUCCUUUGGAGUCCAUUUGAAAUAUAGUGACUGAUGAAGGCCAAGGAGCAAUUCUGCAAUUGUUUAUUCACUGUAUGUGUCCAUGACCUGGAAGAAGCGUGCAGGAAUGGGCUAAAGCAGAGAUGCUUCUGAGAUGGCACAAAGUGUGUGUUGGAGGCAGACAGGAGGAGUGGGCAGAUGGCAGUCAGAACAAAACAGGUGAAUAAUCAAAUUGGGAACAAGCUGAGUAGACUGUGCAAGCACGUGUGGUGUGCAAUUUUGGUUUAGUUACUGUGAUAGGGAUUUAGUUACUUUAUGAUCUUUGCAAAAGAACGGUAAAAAAUCAUGAGCUUGCCCAUAUGUAAUGGUAGAAGUAUGCCUGCUGUUGUGUGAGGUUCCUUCUGGGAGGAACAGAACAGUCAGAGCCUUUGGGAAUGAGAGAACUUAAGGAAAAACAAAACAAAAAACCAAAAACCACUUUUUCAGUGUUCGAAACCUCACCUGCAAGUUUAUUUGGAUUGCUUUGGUAUUAAUGCUCUAAAACUAUACUGCCUGGAUACUACAGGUAUUCUGUGUCAUGAGAGAUGUUGCUGAAACAAGCUAGAGAUAGCAAGAUGUGUUUGUGAUACUUCAGCUAGAUAAAAGAAGUUCUGUAACUGGUUUGAAAACUUUCUAGACUAGACAGCUGCCCAUUGAGUAGCUCUGUGAUCUCUUCCAGGUUGUAGCUUGAGGGCAGUACUGGAGUGCUAAAGAAAAAAGGGAUUGUAGUGAUGAGUGAUCGAUCCCUUAACCCUUAGCACUGUGCUAGGUGUUAUACUGAAAAGAAACCCACAGGUAGAAAUGCUGUCUGCUCUCACUUUGCUUAAGAAAAUUUAGGAUAUCAUUUUGCUGCAAUAAUAACAAAGGCUAUAAUCUGUACAUAAUCUAUUGAGGUACUGUUGGUGAGCCUAGCAGUAACUUGUCAAAUCAAUCUUUCCUUCUGUCUAUCUGUCUCAAAAUAUUCUUGCUUUGUUUCUUUUUUUAGGGAGUUCAAUAACUUGGGACAGCACUGAGCUGCUCUAUCUGGAGAACACCCUUCUAACCAUAAAGGGGAGCUGCUCUGUCUAAGGUAGUACUUAAUAAGCAGAAGUACAACCUUUCUUAUAGUUAAAAAUUUAUUUGGUACGCGUGAACUCGCUAUGCUUGAAAUUACUCUUCCAUAAUAUCAGUAUCCUUGUGUACUGUCAGUUUAAGAUGCCUCAGUCUGAGUGACACUGGUGAAGAGUUCUACUGCAUGAGGAGGUUGAGGGAAUUAAAGCUAUAUUUCUGCAGAACUGAAGGUUAGAAAGAUAAAGGAAGAAAGAUUAACAUAUUCACAAGGAGUGCCCUAGAUAAGAUUGCUUCCUGUCUGAGGACAUACCGAAUCCUGUGGGAAUGAGGCAGCUAUACUACUAAAACACACUUCAAUUCUGAUGUUUCAUACUGAAUCAUUGCUAUGUUAUAAGUGGUAUUAAUGGAAUUUAUAAAGAUGUUAGCAUUUAUAUAAAGAAUAUAGAAAUAAGUUCACCCAAAACAUCCUUUUGCUAUGUAAGAGCUGUGUGGAGAAUGAACAAACACUUGAGGGUUAACAUGAGUAUAAUAAAUCAGAAUGCCACAUGAACCUCAGAGGACUUCCUUCAUCUAUUCACUUCAUUGUUUCCUCUGCUGAUACAGCACAGCUCAGCCAAAUGCAGGGUCAUUAUUGUUCUGAUGUUCAAAGUGUUUCUAAAUGUUCUUGAAGAUGGAACUCUUCUCUUUGCGUUGUCUUACACUGUUUAGUUUAUUAAUUGUUCAGUGUAUCACACUGAGCAUUUUUUUAAGCAGAAGUCAUGGUGUAAGUCCACAGGUUGGAGUAAUUGGUGAGGUGCAUUGUGAGCUGUUGAUAACCUACAGGAAAGGCUCAAAUUUAUACCUUCAGGAAACUGCUGUUUCCCAAAGCUGAUGCUUGGCAACAGAAGAUGCCCUGUUGACCCUCUGCAGCUUGGCAGAAAGCGCUCCUGAGUAUGUGAGCUUCCAAAGCUUAUAUCCCAGGGUACAGACUGCUCAGGGCUGCUGGCUGGCACAGUGCAUUCCCAUCAGCGUAAAAUGGAGGUCACAGUUCAGUAAAGUAUAAUCUGGAAAAAGACUGUAAAAGUAGAACAGAUUAAAAACUCAGUUUUGGCAUUUAAGCGAGUGAUGACCUGUCUAGAUAUUUAGCUGCUGUUACUUGGGAUUUCUAAGAUGUAGCUCAGCUGUUGGACCUGGAGAGGCAGUGUUUACAGCAGUAGUCUCACGUCAGCUUUAGCUUUGAUUACCUUUUGGUUAAGUGUAUCAAGUUAAGAUUGCUGUGAAUUCUGUCAUAUUUUCUUUUCUGUGUUCUUCUUGUCUUGUACUUAUUCUGUGGUCACAAAAGCUGCUUGUUGUUCAUGGCUUUUCCUGGAGAUGGCUGUUGCUUUUUCUUUCUAUCCAUAUUUACUUUGCUGAAUGGUCCAUAUUUAACACGCAUCAUUGCUUUGAACAUAUUCUUACAGCGUGCUUAUCUACACUAGUGUAAUGUGUUCUGCUAACCUCAUGUUUCCAGAUAUUUAUAUAAACCGCAUAUGAUAUAAUUAUUAGCACUGCUGCUUAAACUUGAUAAUAACUGAUCUGAUCAUUUAUAAACUGCUUGCAAAUAUAUUUUUCUCAUUGUUUUCCCUUAAUUUACUGCUUUUGGAGGUUUGGUUAAAUAAUUAUUUUGGAGAUUUCACAGAAUCGUAGAAUGGCUGGGGUUGGAAGGGACCUCAGGGAUCAUGAAGCUCCAACCCCCUGCUGCAGGCAGGGCUGCCAACCUCCUUAUCUUAUACUAGACCAGGCUGCCCUGGGCCCCAUCCAACCUGGCUUUGAACACCUCCAGGGAUGGUGCAUCCACAACCUCUGUGGGCAGAUUUAACUUGUAAAACUUCUUAUUUCAGUAUUAAUACUGCAUUCACUUCUACAAACAUAACUAAACAUUUUUUUCCAUCAAAUUAGGUUAAGAGAAGAAACUUUAUAGUGAACUCAUUUCCAGUACUAGUUUUGGAGUAUAAAUUUUCCCAACACAGUGGCUUCCAGACUUUGUUUUCUUAGGUCCUUUUGUCUUAGCUCCCAGAUUUCUCUGUAGGUUAAGGACACCAUCCUUUUAAUACAGCACUUUGCUGAGGAGAACUAAGCUGUCUGCUGGUGGAUCAGGCACAUUGGGUGCAUUCAGGUUACGGGAACACUGGGAGCGUUCUGGUAUUCAGGAAGGCAGUUCUGCAACCUGUCCCGUGUUUGUUCUGUGUCAAGGGAGCAGUACUUUAAGGAAAUAACAAGGGAAGCUAAGGUGACUCCUAGAGCUUCAUGAAGGCUGGUCUGCUGUAUGUGUAGAGUUCCUAGUAGAACAGACAACUGAACAGCUUGUGAAGUUCAGUGCUUGAAUCAGCUGUGAGAUAGGACAGAUUCCUUCAACCAGGUUAUUUGUGAUAUGAGAAUACCAGCAUCCCCAUAUGACCAAACCUCUGCUGCUGUUCUUAAAUACCGUUAAUCGUUAAUUAAACUGCACCAGGAGAGUGUUUUCAUAAGUCAGCUACAUACAAAGAAAAGGUCAGUAGUAGUUUUAUGUCCGUCUGUUGGUGCGUUAUAAAUGUACUAUUGUAGAAGUCUACUUAAUAGUGCAGGUAGUUCAUAGUAUGCUGAUAACACAAACUAUCUGUCAGUUUCAAUCACUUUCUUAACCCACUGUAACAGCAGAAUUUAUUUUACCUGUCUCGGUAAUGUUUGUGCAGUUAGGAGUUCCAGAUCACUGGAGACUGACGUACUGUGACAUACAGUUUAUUGUCUUUUGUCUUUUAAGCUGUAUGUAGCGAAUGGAACUCAUUUGAGGAAUCCUACUUUUAAAUAGUAGAGUAUCAGGUUGGGUGUGGAAGGACUAAAUGUGAGAUUGUUUUCAUACGGAAAAUAUGUUUGAUGGUAAAUACCACCAACUAAUGCUAAUUUUCUUGCACUUAAUUGGAGCAUAAGGUAGUUGACUGUGGGUCUGUGGAAAGACAAUGAGUUUUGGUCUGUUACUGAUACCAAAGUAUAUAUUAUACAAUGACUAGAAUUUGGUAUUUGCAGUCUUUCCUUAAGUGCACCUUCAUAGGUCCCACUGUGCAACUGAACUUCUGCUUCGCUAUUUCUGCAGAACAUGUGUUGUAGAAGUGAUAGGGUUAAUGCUCAUUAUUCUGGUGCUGGUUACAUUUGAGUUCUUCUAGUUGAGAGGCAGAUCACAAACUACAGGUGAAACUGACCUUCUAAAACUGAUUUUUCAGGAAUAGUUUCUUGAUGCUUUUACUGCUUCUCUGUUGAGUUAAUAUGGUUCCCACAGGUUGCUGCUUGAGGUGCAGCAGUUCUGUAAAACCAAGUGGGAAUUUGUAGCUGGCCACUAAAAAUGAAGAGUAAAAGCAGUGGGCCUGUAUGAACUGAGCAUGGCAAGAGUCCUAUAAGAAGGGUUUUUUUGUUUUUCUUGUGGGCAUGUUAUUGUUGUUCAUAUGUAAAUAUGUGGAAGUGGGUUGGUAUGGUUAAAGCUAUUUCUCUUAAUUUGUCUUCUUAGUUUUGUGGUUCAUUUGUGUUGGAGAGAGUCCUUUUUAAUGACAUUUUUGUUCUCUAGCAAAGUGCACUUUAAAUCUAGAUAAAACCUAAUGUAUCAUGUAGAAUGUGGAGACUUAAUGAUGUUUCUCUGUGGGAGCUCCUCUUUGGGUUUGGCUUGAAUCUUGUGGGCAGACUUUACCACAGACCUGUACCCUUCACCUAAUGAAGUAAUUAUUGUUUGUCUGUUAAUAACCAGCCACCUUGGUUAGUGGAUUUUGCAAAUACUUUUUAGGAAUUCCAUUGUUCAGAAAUCUGUUGCACUGCCAAGUUCUCCGUCUUAGGUGCUAUAGAUGCUUUGGAAAACAAAAAUGUUUGUUUGGUUUUGCAUUGUUUUGGCUUGCCUUUUGCCUCUCCUUAAGGUCAGAAUGCUGUCAGGACUGAUCUGUACUAUCUGUGUACCAGCAGGUGGAGCAUUGGUAGCAUAAGAUGGGUUUCUGUCACUUAGUUCAGGUGUUUGGGAGGAAGAUAGUUCCUUCAGCGUUUUAGAACAUUGUGACCUCUGUGGAGGUGGAAGCUGCUGACUCUGUUUGGUGUUAACAUGGCACAUUAACAAAAAAUGUUGAAGGACAAUUUUCAGACUUGCAGGUGAGGUGAACUUGGCUGUAGAGAGCAAAAGGCAGCUUGGUGUUUCUCUGCUUUUUUCAAAUGCCAGUUACCUGCUGUGAGGCGUGGAAGUAUUGAAGCUACAUCUAAAUGACUGUGAAGCUUUUAAGGGAGCAGAAUUUUGCCAAGUUUGUGGGGGUUUUGUUUGUUGCAGAGUGAGAGGAGGUUCAUAUGGUUUCACAGUUCACCUGCACUGAUUUAAAGUUGUGUUGUCACUAAAACAGGCAGUCCUGCCUUACAAAGUUUCUUCCUGCCAGUGCCAGGGACUGCCCUGCCACCUGCCUGCAGAAAACCGAUCUUUUUUUUUUCCCCUCACCAGGAUUAGUUUGCAGCUAAAUAUAGCAGUUGGUUCCAGUAACUCGCAUCAUAUUUUUAUCAAAUUCCUGUAAGAAUGGAGAAAGCAGGAAUCCCUCUGCCAGAAGUGAGGGCGAGCAGGACUACUGUUCUGCUACCCUACUCUUAGUAUGAUCAAUCUAAAUCACCCUGAAAUCACUUUGUAAGUACUGUAGCAGUCUUUUCAUGUCUUUGGAAAGGUCCCUUACGAUAAUGAUACCAGCCUAAAGGUAAUGAUGGUAAACAAGAUUAAAUAUCUCUGGGUGAAGUUCGUAUCACAGAGUUGUCUUUUGAGGUGUGACCAAGAUCUCAACUGUGUGGAAUUUUUGCAUUCAUACAUUACUCCGUAUUUUUCAGAUACGCCUAGAUGUCCAGUGUUUGGGUUCUGUGACUUAAAAUUUAGCUAGUAAAAACAGCCUCAGGAUUGACUUUGAAAUGACUUUACAUCAUCAUCUGCAGAAUAGCUGUUGCUGUAAAUUGUGCAGUGGCAUUCUUUGUUGCUGAUCCUGCUAUACAUACGUACAUAAAGCUGUAUGGCGAACAGGUACACAGGUAUUGGAUCAGAGAGAUUAUCACGUUACAAAGGAGAAAUGAAAUAAAGAUCUUACCCGUGUCCUGGGCUUGCAGAAGGGCUCCAAGAGGAAGGAUCUCCAGCUGGAGAUCCUUCCUCCUUGGGAGUCAGCCCUUAAAUGGGGUCUAGGAGGGUCGCUUCCGGUCACUCAGGUGAAAUUGUGUUCACUGUGCCCCUGCAGCUGACUCAGCGCUCGCCUCAGGUGGUCAAUCAGAGGUUCAGGCUGUGAUUCAACAGUUCCCAUACAUACAGCUUACCUGUUUUCCUGUUUGGUUGGUUUGUUUCAUGUGAGAGCCAGAAAGAAAGAAGAUGAAUCUUCGUUUAUUCCCUUAGGAUACUUUACCAAGAUUGAAGUUGGGAAUAUUUUGUAUCAGAUCUCUCACAUUUUUUGGAAAUGUACUUGGAACAGUAUUGGGUAUCAUUUGGCAAUGCAAGUUUAGAAUGUUUUUUUUGACAUGGUGAGCGUUAAUUUGAACCUUGGAAUGGGCCUGUAUGUUUCCAACUUUUUCUAGUAAGUACUGCUUAAUGAAACUUUGCUUUAAGGUGUUGCUUCAGUUUGUAUUGCAGCACUGUCUUAUGUCUUACAACUUCAGAAAAGAUUUCCUGCUCUAAGUGCUUUUCCUGCCUUUUUAAUACUCAUUGGAUACAUCACUAAACUUGCACAAUAACUGAAAGGCCACUUAGUAGAUUACAUGAGAUAUUGUACUGAGGGACAUGGUUUAGUGUGGAAGUAUUGGUGGUAGGUGGACAGUUGGGCUGCAUGAUAUUGGAGAUCUCUUCCAACCUUGGUGUUUGUAUGGUUCUGUGUGUAUUUUAACUAGGAUCAGAAAUGCAGUUUUGAUCAGACUCAUCUGAUAGUCUGCAGUUACUAUUUUGCAGCUUUUGUGGAGCAUAAAAAGCCUUUUCUUUUUGGAUGAAACAAAAUUGGCAGUUGAACUUGGCUGAUGCAUUUGAAUGAAUGAUAUUUAGGCCAAACAUGGGACUACAGCUAAUUUUGGAGUAAGGCUCUGUGAAGCACAGGAAGUGUGAGUGUUGUCUUAAGCACAAACUGUCUUUUUUUCUUUUUUGCUUCCCGUUGCACCAAAAGAUGUGGAAAACUUAAGAGUUGAUGGAAGGCAGAGAGUACAUUUUAGCUACCGCUCUGUUGAUGAAGUAUGUGCAUUCUUAUUUUGAAACCCAGAGAUGACUCAAGAUUAACUGGCCAAAAAUAUCCAAAAAGCAGGGUAAUCAUGUCAUGAAUAACCUAGUUUUUUCUUUAUCAGCCUGUUCUGUGUACUGCAUUGAAUUGUUACUUGCCUUAUGUUUUUUUUUUUUUAAGUAGGGGAAGGAACUUCUGCUCCAAAGUUUCCCAGCUGCUUGUUUAUUGGUUUAAUUCUGUUUCUCAGUAAAGCUCUGCACUUGUACUGUGACAAAAGAGCAGUUUGGUGGGUCAUAGAAUACAUCUCCUGUAUUUUGUUUGUUAUAGAAUCAUACAACUGUUCAGGUUGGAAAAGACCUUAAAGAUCAUCGAGUCCAACCACAACCUAACCAUACUACCCUAACUCUAACAGCACUCCACUAAAUCAUGUCCCUGACCACUGCAUCCGAAUGGGUUUUUAAACACAUCCAGGGGUGGUAACUCAAGCACCUCCCUGGGGAGCCUAUUCCAGUGCUUAACAACCCUUUCUGUAAAGAAGGUUUUCUUGAUAGCCAACCUAAACUUCCUGGUGCAACUUGAGGCCAUUUCCCCUCAUCCUGUCACCAGUGAGAAGAGAUCAGUCCUGCUCUUGCUGUAAGUACCUUUCAGAUAUUGGAAGGGAGCAAUAAGGUCUCCCCUCAGCCUCCUUUUCCCCUGACCAAACAGUCCCAGUUCCUUCAGUUGCUGCUUGUAGGGCAUACUCUCCAAGCCCUUCACAAGCCCUGUUGCCCUUCUUUGGACCUGCUCCAGCACCUCCAUGUCCUUUCUGUACUGAGGUGCCCAAAACUGAACACAGUACUCAAGGUGAGGCCUCACCAGUGCCGAGUACUAAAUGAUUAAAAAACCCCUAUUUAGAGUUGGUGGGGAAAUAAGAUUUAGUAGGGAAAACAGAAAGACCAGAAAUCUGUAGCCUAUCCUUAAGUGUUAAGCUUUUUUGCAUGUUGCUGAAGAGUGAUGUUCUAAAAAUUGUCUCUUCAAAAUAGUUUUUUGGGAGACAUUCUACAUACAUUUCAAACUGAAGACAGCUUCUGCAAGCAACCGAAGUGAAGAUAUCUUUCAUGCUGUCUACUCUUAAAGGUGCUGGUGUAAAAAUAAGAGUCUGGAGGGGUUUUUUGAAGAGCAUUGAUUAUGAUGUACAAAGGUCACCUACAAACUCUCACUGUAAUAAUGAUUGCCUUUUCUUUUAGUAGUCCAACAGCUAAAUGUUACGUUGUUCCAAGUAAGGAAAUAUGACUCAAAGUCAACAGAUACACUCCUGCUGUAUUUACAGACCGGGAAGUCUGUUUUGCUGCUUUGAGUUAGAAACUAUAUAAGGAGGUGGCUUGGUGCUACAGCAAAUGUUUGGGAGACUAUGAAAAUAGUAAUUUUGUAAAGAUAUUUGUCAGAUCUUUUGGGCAGUUGACUUGAGAAUAUGAGGAAAUAUUUUCAAAGUGAACUGUUUUGCCAGUGGGUUGUGUCUCUUUCUGGUUACUGUCAGUAAAUCCUGAAAACUGAUUUUCCUUAGAGCAACUUGGUGAAAUCUUGUAUUUUGAAAGUAAAAGUUUUCAGAGUUAUUGACUCUUUUUAAAUGUUCUUUGCUGUUGUAUCAUUUCUUGUUUUGCUUUUGAGAUUGAUGCUUGAAUGGAUGCUGUGAUGACGUGCUGUCCUUGUGUGGACUGCUUCCUUUGGGGAUAGCAGGCUGUGUACAUGUACUUAAAAGAAUGGGCCUCUUGGCUUUACUGCAAAACAAAACUUUUUUAGUACUGCACACUUACAUGACGUCCAUGACUUGCAUGCUUGCUGGGCUGUGUUUAUUUUAUUUGAGUAAUUCAAAAGUUGUAUGUAUUUUGCUGGGAGCAAGGUUAAGAUUUUGAGUUUUGUACAGAUCGCUUCUCUGUCUGAUGUCCUUCAGGGUUUAAGUGUGAUGGAGGACUUGAGCUGGUGCUUCACACCAUAAAGAAAACAAGUCGUUGCAACACUGCACUUCCACCAAAGUCUGCUUCCUUCAGUAGCAAUCUCAGAUUCUGCUCAUUGAAAUUGUGCAUAUGAGAAUUUGUUGUAUUUGCAACUACUAAUUUGAAAGGGUUAAAAUAUGUUCACAGAGGACUGCCCUUAAAACUAUUGUAUUGUAUUCCUGCUAGAUCUCUUGGUGGCCUGGCCCAACUUGUGUAUUUCCUUACCAGCUUCUCUAGCAAUAGAGUAAAAUAGUGUAGUCUUAAUUGUGCUGAUCUUAACAGAGCAUCCAAAUGUGCCUUUGGUCAGCAGUAUUGAUGACUCAUUGGAGUUAUCAAAUUGCUUCCAGCAGUGUUACAGAGAACUACUUAAGGCAGCUGGUAUCACCAGAGAAUUAUAAUCUCAAAUGGGAGCAAAUAGUCAUUAAAUGAAGCAUUCAAAAUGUGCUGUCAUUUUGGAGUAUGCUACAUCAGACUGGGCCGAUAGUCAAUCAAAAAUGGGAUGGGGAUGUGAAGAGAAAAUAGCCUAACAACUGGGAUGUGUAGCUGCUCUGGUCUUGAUUUCUAUUUAUUUAUUUUAGGGAAGGUUUUUCCAUUCACUCUUAACCAUUUUUGAGCCAGCAGGCACGAAGGGCUUCAGUGUUUUAAGAAACUUCCUAAUGGAUUUUCUUGCUUUAAAAUUUAAAAAUUUACUUCUUAUGAGCAGAGCUCUUCUGAUAUUAUUCCAAAGAACAUCUGUUAAAAGUAUUCUGUAUCCUAUUUCUUGUCAAGUCCUAGGGUUGGUUUUGCCCUCCUGUGACUACCUUCUGGUCCCUUUAAAAGAAAUGAUCAGAUUAAUUUUUUCAUAUUCAGUAGUGUGAAUUUUCUUUGUAUGUUCCAGAUUGAGUGUAAGACAUAAAUGAUCCUCCAAAGAAGCUUUUCUCAAAAAAAAAAAGAGCUUAUUUUCUGAAGACAACUUUGUCACUUGAACUAGAGAUGCUUCUUACCUUGACUGAAAAGGCAGACUAUGGGCACAAACUGGAAGACUCCUCAAGGUAAAACAGGAACAUGUCAUGUGGAGAUACCUGUAUUCAUCUUUCUCUUGUGGUCAGUGCAUGUUGCUGUAUCUCCUCUGCUGAAAAAGCAAAAAUUGCAGGGAAAAAAAAAUUCCAAAAAUAUAUGGCUAUACAUUAUACAGCAACAAUCUGUUAGAAGCCUAUUCUCAGAGAAGGCAAAAAUAUAGCUAAGGAUGCUAAUACUCUUCCUUCCUUUUUCUGUUCUGAUUGCAGGUAAGUCUACUGGUGGGGGUUUUUAUGAGGUGAGGGUAAUACAUUAUGACAAAUUGUUAGUGACAGAUGGAUUUUUUUUACUUAGCUUACUUCUAAAGCAAAAUGAUCUGGAUUAGCCACUUCCUGCCCCCCGAGGUGGCUGCACAACUUCUCAGGUUACCUAAAUUAAAGACUUAAUUUGACUCAGUAAGUUACUCUAUCAGGUUGAGAGCCAAGAAGGUGUUUUAUAAAUACAUGAUUUCUGCAUGCUGAGCAGUGUUGUUCAGUCAGAGGGAAGAGGAGAAUGGGGGGGGGGAGUCUUUAAUUGCUGCCUUCAGUUACCUAAUGGAUCAUGACAAGAAACCAGCUCUUUCUUGGUGUUGUGCAGCAAAAGGGUGAGAAGCACUGGGCACAAGAUGCAGCAAAGGAAAUUCCAGAUAGGUGUAAGGCAGAAGAAAAAAGUUAGACCUGUAGCUACACAGACGUGACUAGAUUGCUUGUAGAAGCUAUGAAAUAUCUUUGCUUGGGGAUGCUCAGAUUUUGAGCAGGGAGUUUGCUGUAGGUGAUUUCCAGAGAGCCUUCCAGAGGUCAUUUCCACUGUAAGAUGUUUUUGGUUUCCAUUUGGUGAUUAGUUCACGACUUUUCUUCACCGAGAAGGCUUAUCGUUCUGAGCUGUCUUUCUGAUCUUCGAUGGUAAUCACUUUUCAUGUCUCAUUUGUUAAAAUUAUGCUCACUAGAGUCAGAAAUGGUGUCUGUGGAGACAGUGCUUUUGUAAAGCAUGUAUUAACUGAAAGGUUCUGACUGCAUGUCUGUUUUACUGUAUUUGUCCAAGUAAAGACUUCCAAAAGUGAAACCAGCUUUGAAGGUUCUCUUACAGUGCUGUUUUUGGUGCUGUUUUUUCAACUUCAGUUAAUUUUAUGUAUUUACAGUUCACAGGACUAAUACUCAGCAGAAUAUUUUGGAGCAGAGUGAGCUAAGAAGUUGAAGACAGGUUGUAUUCUCUUUAAGAGAAAAAUUCUAGGGUGUGAACUUUGAUGCAGAUGUGCAACUUAAUGGUGUAUUCAAUUUCUGCCUACUGUUCCUUUGUUUUAAACUGCUUAUUUAAAAGCAUAAGAACACCCCUUCCUCUUUCUGUGUUUGACCCCCAGCAUUCUGCAUGCUCAGUAUACUCCAGCUAAUACUGAGAUUAUUUGGAUUGCAGGUGAAUGUCUGCUUUUUCAUGGGCUUUGGAGAAGGACAGUGAGCAGCCUUUGUAGUUGCUACUCCUGUAUAUUUUUGGGAAAUAAUGCAAGAAAUGAAUAGGGGCCAGUUUUGUCUUGCAUGCUGUGUCUGUUCUUGAGUUUGUUAGAUUGUAGUCAUUCUCUCUGAUGCAGUUCUAGAUUGAUGGUCAAUUAUUUUUACCUCGUAAACCUCCAUUCUUUGAAACGAGUGAAUCAUGGGCCAGAGUGUGUAGGACAGCUUUUUUCUUAUGCUUAGUCACAGGAGACUAAGCUUACAGUUUUAUUCUAACUUAGCUCCCCAAGAUAUGCAGAGCAACUGGGUGGAUGCUGUUCUUAAUUAUGAUCUGAACUUUAUUUUGGCUCGCACCAUCACUGUUUCAUUGUUUAUCUUCCUUUGGUAAGAUGAGAACAGUAUCUUAUGACAAAAACAUUUAGUUGUUUGGUUUUCUGUAAUGGUUAUGUAUGACAUUUGCAUCCUCACUGAAAUUUGGGCUUAGAUAUGUUAAUAGUGUACUGUUUUACACAUUCCCAUGCAUUCUUAAAAUAUGAGAUGCUUUUUUUGACAGCUCAAUUUAAAACUUUUUACUUCCUACACAGUGAAACUGUCAGUUUUAGUGUUUGCACAUAUGUAUAUAUUUAGUGUAUCCUUCUAGUAUUUGAAGAGAGCUUCUAAGCAGGAAGGGGAGUGACUUUUUACAUGGUCUGAUAGUGAUAGCUCAAGGGAGAAUGGCUUUAAACUAAAGGAGCGGAGAUUUAGGUUAGAUGUUGUGGAAAAAAAAUCCUUUCUCAGAGGAUGGUGAGGCACAGGAGCAGGAUGCCCACAGACAUUGUGGCUGCCCCAUCCUGGUGGUGUUCAAGGCUGAGUUGGAUGGGGCCCUGGGCAGCUUGAUCCAGUGAGUGGCAACCGUACGCGUGGCACAGAGUUGGAGCUUGGUUAUCUUUAAGGUUCCUUCCAAUGUAAGCCAUUCUGUGAUUAGUGAUUGUAAGAAGCAGAGCGUGUGGUUUCCUGAAAAUAUACAGGAAAUGCAGUUCUAAAACUACUUACAUAUGCUUCCUACUUCAUAAUUCAUUGUGCACUGUAAACUUCUAAUGCUAUAGCGAACUCUGUGGCUGUUAAAUGAUCAGACUGCCCUAUGUUAGGGCAGAUUGUAAUCUAUCUGAAUCACUGCGUGACAUUUAUGCUGUUGAAAUUGAAUUGGACUAUGUGAGAGCUGAAAGCUAUGGCACUUUAAAUUCAGCACUGAUUCAGACACUGUGUUUUACUCGGGGCAAAUAACUUAAUGUCUAAUACUCAGUUAUGUUCUGGUCAGUAGACGUGACUUAAAAUAAUUGGAGCAAUAGCAGGGAUCUGCUUUAACUUUCUUUUUCAGUUAGCUAUUUGUGCAUGAGAACUGAGACUUCUAAUUCACUGAGUAAUUGUAAUCAUGCUGAUCAUGGAAUGAGGAUAUCUUAAGAUAUGGGAAGAAAAUAAGCUCUGUGGGAAAUACAUAAGCUCUCUUUAGCUUCCUUGUUCCCCUGCAUCUUCCUUUCCCUUAUUGCUUUCCUUCUUCCCAUCUUGUUUAACUUUCUGAUCACAGUGCAGUCCAAGCUCAGUGUGACUGAUAAAAUAAUAUGUGGCACUUGGGAAAACUGCAGUACCUCUCUGUGACCUGUGUGGCUUGGGUUUGGAAACUGAAAGAGCACAAACUUCAGGUAUCACAGCAGUGCCCUUUUUGUUGGUGUUAAACCUCUUGGUGAAUCCCUUGUACUGACAGCUUAAGAGCCAGAUUGGUAAAUGUUGUGUGUCAGGAACAGUUUAUGUAGUUUAAAGAUUCACAUGGUUCUUCACAUUUUCUGUAUGAGGAAUUUGAAGGGGAAUUCACACUGCAAGAAAUGCUACAUUCAUUGUUGUUCUUCAGCAAAUACAGUUAACAGCAUUAAUGGAAGCCAGCAAUCAAUGUCCUUCUGUUUGCAGUGACGUUAGAAUAAGUCCUGGUUCUGUGCUUUUAAGCUUUAGCAGGGUUAGAGGACAGAACCUUUGACAAAAGCCGGAGUGUGGUGUCUUUUUGUAUUUGUUUGUAAGUGUUCAGGAGAAUAGCAGAAGAUGCUUAAUCUUCAGUUUUCAUAGAAGAACUUUUAUGGAAGUUCUAUCCUUCAAAAGCGUAGUUGCACGGAACUACACUGCAGAUAUAUUUUCUUAAUGUUUUUGGAUGGAGCUGAAAAUGUAACUCCUUUGUACAAACAUGAUCACACUGUUAGAUGUUGUGCUGGGGUUGGUAGCUGACAGUUUGAUAAAACAGCAAGAGACUUCACUGUCAUUUGUAUUGUUUUUUUUGUGAUGAUCUGAGUGUUAAAAUGAAGCUGGAGGGAGUGUCCUCUCUUUAGGCAGGUGACAUUGUGGUAACCUUCAUUACUUCCUUAAGAAGCAAGUGUUGAAGGAGAGCAGCACAAGAAAUGGUUCACUGCAGCAUAAUGCUUAGCAGCCUAAUUAGUCGAAUACCAUGUGCCUACCUCUGCAUGAAAUAACCCAUUUCUUCACAAGGUAAAAUAGGAAUUUUCAGUUUUGGAACAGCCUGAAGAGGCCUUUGUUGCAAAUGUCCGUUGGCUUUUUAACUAUUUAUUCUCAAAUAAUGAAGGUCAGCAUGGUAUCCAUAGAGACUGCAUGCAGCUUCCUCGUUAAUCUUGGCAAACUCCUGUAAUAACUACAUUCACUUAAUACUAACAAGUGUUCACAUUUCAUUAAUGGGAGAACAGUAUGGGAUUGACAUUCUGUAACUGAGAAAUCUUGAAUGUGUAGUUUUUCUUCUUUAAACUCUGUUAGAAUUUCCCUUUACGAGUUGCCUUGGAGGCCUGAACAGCCUCAGAACAAGCAACUUUUAAAUUGCAGGAGUCUGCGUAUUUCCUGGAAGCAGAAAACUUCUUACUGGCUAAGCCUUUUCUUUCUGAAAGGAUCAAGAAUGAUAAACAAGGAUAAAUGGGUCUGCUUUCAGCUCUGUUAGUAAAAGGAAAGUUUUCUGCUAUGAACUAGAAUAUAAAGGCAUUGAAGUAUUAUGUAAAUAUGAUCAAGCUAGAAUGAUAAGAUUUAAAAAAAUAACCUCAUGCAGACUCUCCACCUCUGCUUUUUUUCUUCCUUUUUCUUUAACCAAGAAUGGGAGAAUUUUUGUAUCACCAGAACACUGCUGAAGUCCUUUGUAUUUGACUGUCAGAUUACUUCUGUGCAGAAAAUUCUAAUCAGAGUGUUAAUAUGAAAUAACUGAGUGCUGUAUGCUUAAUAAUGACUUUGAUUUAAAUUAAAUUUUGUUCUUGAAUAGUAUUUUGUCAUUUAAAUACUUUUAAUAUUGAAAGGGUUCUUUUAACUGAGAAGAAAGAAAUAGACUGCAUCAGAACAGAAUGCAGUCUUGUGGGACUUCUGGUACUGAGUUGCUGAAGGGGGGGAAGUAAAAUGGUUCCAUCCAGAGGCUGUUAUUGUUUUAUUCCCACCCUGACACUUUUAAUGCUUACCCCAGGAUAUAUAUAUAUAGAGAGAGAGAGUAACAGAGCCUUAAACUGAUGCUGAGAAAUAUACAUAUUUUUUCAGAAUUCUGCCAGGUUUAUUUCUAAGAUUUCCUUCAUUAUGAGCUUGUUUUCCUAAAUUAUACAUUCUUAUUUAGAAACAUAAGUAACUGUGAAAGAGUAGAUAGUGUGGAUGCUUAGAAUGGAACUCCAUUUAUUUUUUUUGAGAGUUCUGGUAAUGAAGGUAUAGGAAAGUAAAAUGUAUGUAUGAAUGUAUUUGAACCUGAAGAGGUUUAAAAAUGUGCAUUUUAAAACUUGAGUACGUAUAUUCCCAUGUCUUGCAUUUAGAAACAUUAAAUUAUGUUAAAUCUACAAUUGUGGUGUUUUUGUAUCAAUGCUUGUUUUAAGUGAAACUGAAAAUGAGAUUUUCUUCAGAAUUAGUGGAAUGGUAAUUGAUUGGAAUGUCACAGAAAUGUCAUAAAUCUUUUUCUUUUCCCCCUCCCCUAAAGGUGACCGACUACUUUGUACUGCUGGACAC
RNAcentral lists this long non-coding RNA (20237 nucleotides) under Gallus gallus (chicken). RNAcentral describes it as "lncRNA (ENSGALG00010010181.1)". Lineage: Eukaryota; Metazoa; Chordata; Aves; Galliformes; Phasianidae. The record is from RNAcentral.